Molecule: non-coding RNA, 141 nt
Organism: Pseudonaja textilis
Lineage: Eukaryota; Metazoa; Chordata; Lepidosauria; Squamata; Elapidae
Source: RefSeq, a predicted model, not a curated record
CAUAGGACUGGUUGCGAAGGGGUGGGGGUGAGGGGAAAGGAUCCUCUGAAUUGGUGUCACCUCCUGCCUCUUGCCUCCGCACAUAGAGGAGGUUGAGCGGCUGCCAGCGAUGCCCUCAAGGGAAGAUGUUGCAAGGGGAAG